RNAcentral lists this ribosomal RNA (490 nucleotides) under uncultured bacterium. RNAcentral's name for it is "partial 16S ribosomal RNA". It matches the Rfam family "Bacterial small subunit ribosomal RNA", at positions 30 to 507 of the family's 1533-position model. The record is from RNAcentral.
AUUGAACGCUGGCGGCAGGCCUAACACAUGCAAGUCGAACGGUAACAGGGAUCAGCUUGCUGAUUCGCUGACGAGUGGCGGACGGGUGAGUAAUGUCUGGGAAACUGCCUGAUGGAGGGGGAUAACUACUGGAAACGGUAGCUAAUACCGCAUAACGUCGCAAGACCAAAGUGGGGGACCUUCGGGCCUCUUGCCAUCGGAUGUGCCCAGAUGGGAUUAGCUAGUAGGUGGGGUAACGGCUCACCUAGGCGACGAUCCCUAGCUGGUCUGAGAGGAUGACCAGCCACACUGGAACUGAGACACGGUCCAGACUCCUACGGGAGGCAGCAGUGGGGAAUAUUGCACAAUGGGCGCAAGCCUGAUGCAGCCAUGCCGCGUGUAUGAAGAAGGCCUUCGGGUUGUAAAAUACUUUCAGCGGGGAAGAAGGGAGUAGAGUUAAUACCUUUGCUCAUUGACGUUACCCGCAGAAGAAGCACCGGCUAACUCCGUG